UACGGGGGGGGGCAAGCGUUUGUUCGGAAUUACUGGGCGUAAAGGGCUCGUAGGCGGCCAACUAAGUCAGACGUGAAAUCCCCAGGCUCAACCUGGGAACUGCGUCUGAUACUGGAUGGCUUGAAUCCGGGAGAGGGAUGCAGAAUUCCAGGUGUAGCGGUGAAAUGCGUAGAUAUCUGGAGGAAUACCGGUGGCGAAGGCGGCAUCCUGGACCGGCAUUGACGCUGAGGAGCGAAAGCCAGGGGAGCAAACGGG
RNAcentral lists this ribosomal RNA (255 nucleotides) under uncultured bacterium. RNAcentral's name for it is "partial 16S ribosomal RNA". It matches the Rfam family "Bacterial small subunit ribosomal RNA", at positions 524 to 776 of the family's 1533-position model. The record is from RNAcentral.